Molecule: ribosomal RNA, 717 nt
Filed under: Staphylococcus aureus
Lineage: Bacteria; Bacillati; Bacillota; Bacilli; Caryophanales; Staphylococcaceae
Description: bacterial SSU rRNA
Rfam family: Bacterial small subunit ribosomal RNA
Source: RNAcentral
GGUGAGUAACACGUGGAUAACCUACCUAUAAGACUGGGAUAACUUCGGGAAACCGGAGCUAAUACCGGAUAAUAUUUUGAACCGCAUGGUUCAAAAGUGAAAGACGGUCUUGCUGUCACUUAUAGAUGGAUCCGCGCUGCAUUAGCUAGUUGGUAAGGUAACGGCUUACCAAGGCAACGAUGCAUAGCCGACCUGAGAGGGUGAUCGGCCACACUGGAACUGAGACACGGUCCAGACUCCUACGGGAGGCAGCAGUAGGGAAUCUUCCGCAAUGGGCGAAAGCCUGACGGAGCAACGCCGCGUGAGUGAUGAAGGUCUUCGGAUCGUAAAACUCUGUUAUUAGGGAAGAACAUAUGUGUAAGUAACUGUGCACAUCUUGACGGUACCUAAUCAGAAAGCCACGGCUAACUACGUGCCAGCAGCCGCGGUAAUACGUAGGUGGCAAGCGUUAUCCGGAAUUAUUGGGCGUAAAGCGCGCGUAGGCGGUUUUUUAAGUCUGAUGUGAAAGCCCACGGCUCAACCGUGGAGGGUCAUUGGAAACUGGAAAACUUGAGUGCAGAAGAGGAAAGUGGAAUUCCAUGUGUAGCGGUGAAAUGCGCAGAGAUAUGGAGGAACACCAGUGGCGAAGGCGACUUUCUGGUCUGUAACUGACGCUGAUGUGCGAAAGCGUGGGGAUCAAACAGGAUUAGAUACCCUGGUAGUCCACGCCGUAAACGA